Vigna unguiculata (cowpea) is the source of this 2417-nucleotide long non-coding RNA. RefSeq lists it as uncharacterized. NCBI's taxonomy places the organism in Eukaryota, Viridiplantae, Streptophyta, Magnoliopsida, Fabales, Fabaceae. The record is from RefSeq and is a predicted model, not a curated record.
AAAGUGGACAACAUUGUUGAAGGGUGAGCCCAAGGUUGUGAUGGGAUGAUGAGGGAGAGAACAAGUUGGAAGGAGUGAAGAUGGUAAGUGGGGGUGUGCAUGAAAUGAAUCAAAUCAAAGCAACAAAAACAAUGAAGUUAGAAGUUGAAACCCUAACACCCCUUUGAGAUAAUGAUAAUAAGGGUAAAGGUAAGAGUGAGAGAGGAUGAAGAGUGCAGGCAGAGGCUGUCAAUUCCGGCCCCAACUCGAAAAGGUUAAUGAGGACGCAAACGCACCACAUAGAUAUAUACAUGCUCCAAUCCUAAACGCCACACCAAUCCUCUAAAAGGUAAUGAUGAAGUUGGGGUCCUUUCACUACCCUUCUGGCAUGUGUACUGCAAAACAACUUCCUGUAAAGCUUAGCAGGUAUGUCUGUACCAUGAUGGAACUCUGUGUACUAUCACGAAUCAUUGAAUGCUUUUACUUCAUGGAUAUUUGGGGUAACAUUAUUUCCCUCUCCUCCUUUCCUGUUCCCUUUGUGUUAUCUAUAUUUCAAUCUUCAAUUUUUUUUUCUCUGAGUGAAGAAAAUCUCUUACUGGCCAGUGGUUAAUGGCUAAUGGCUAUCAUAUCAGAUUGGCUAAUGGCCAUCAUAUCAGAAGGGGCAUGAUUAGUUUUUAACUUUUUGUGUGAUGUAUUUAUGUUUGUGUUGCAUUGUCAGUGAUUUUGAUCCUUGUGUGCAGGAAAAUCUAGAUUAGUUGCCCCUCAGAAUACAUCAAAUUGUUUGCUUAACUAGAUAUAUGGCACAUGUGCUGCUUUCCUAUCUAUAAAUAGUAUGUACUUCAGUUCCAGUUCAUACUUUCCAUUUGGUCUUUUUUUUCAUGUUUUAGGGUUUGUUUGGUUGAUAAGAGGGAGAAGAGGAAAAUUAAUUUGGUUUAUGGAGAAGAGAAUCAUAGUUAAUUUGGAAAAAGAAAAUGAAAUUCAUUCUACUAUUCUUUUUACCUUUUGUUUUUUAUCUUUAGGUUUUAUCACAUCAAUCAAAUUACAUAUCUUAUAAGAAAAAAAUUCUCUACUUUUCAAAUACUCUUUUUACUAAAUAAUUAUAUUAUUUAUUUAUUUAUUUAUUUUGUCAACUUAUUUAUACUUUUGUAUUUAUUUUCUCGCAACCAAACGUCCUUGAUUUCGUUUGUUCUAUAAGGACUUCACACAUUUGUGUUCCGGGGAAUUAAAGCAUUGGCUUGACUUGUGGAAAUUGUUGUUGUAAGGUUUAACAACUACCACUAUUCUUUUGUUUAAAAUUUGCAUUUAAGUAUAGUAAACACUUCAUUAAAUGUGAAGUUAUAAAUGAUGAUAAAACUUAUUCAAACAAUUUUAAAAAUGAUAAUAAAAGUAAUAAGUAAUAUUCAUAAAUAUAAAUCAUGUAAAUACUGUUUUAAACGUCCUCUAGUUCUAUACCUAUCUUCACUUUUUUUCUUUUCGUAUUUUAAUUUGAUUUUUAUGCUAUUUUGGAGAUAAGUUGAAACGGGAGCCUGAGAAUUGGAAGCAAAAAAAACAUGUUAUUAUAAUGAAAAAUAAGAAUUCCAAUGAGAAUUUUUAAGAGGGGGAUUUUAGUAUGGUUCAGGUUCAUAUGAUUAUUAGAUUUGUUAUAUUUAUAUUACCAUUUUCAUAUAUAAAUAUGUCAAAGAUGGUAAGCAAAUAACUUAGGUAAGGAAAGUAAUAUUGGGUAAAAUGAAAGAAUAUGAGUUAUAAGAUUGAAUAUAUAAUUAACUAAAUAUUUUAUAAUAGAACUGAAGUAAAAUUUCCUUUCAUUGUGUAUAAUUAAUAAAAUAUUCUAAUAAGAAAAAUAACAUAUAAUUAGUUAUUUUGUGUCAAUAUCUUUCAAAUUGAAAGUAAAAACAGUGCAUAUGGAUGGGAAAAUGUUCUACUUUUCGUCUUUGGAAACAUGAGUAAGAUGGUUUUUAUUUCAUUCAAAAGUCUUUCAAUCAAUUCUAACACAUUGUGAGGACCAACUUAACAUAUACAUAUUUAAGAUAAAAAGUUGAAUGAAGUUCUUUACAUUCUUAUCAUCCAAGUUUUUCAUUAAUAUGAAUGAUGACAUGUGAAUAUUCUUUCCAAUAAUUCCAUCAAAUAUGUGCAGUAAAAUUUUGAUUAUACAUUUCCAAGUCAUCAUGACAUAUUAUAUCGAGAACAUGUUGAUGUUAAAAGUAGGAUUAUCUAUAUAAUUUAUCCACAUAUGCAUGUCGUAUUUUCUAGGACCACUAUUCAAGAAUUUUGGUUUACACGAGGAGAGAUUGUCCAGGAAUUUUCUUUGGAAGCAACAAUUGAUAAACAUGUUAGAAAUUUGUGACCAUGUUUGGAGAUUCUAAAUGAGUUGAAACAAAAAAUUACUCAGACUCCAUUAAUGUAUGUGGGAGUUUCAUUCAAUGAAUUGCCUUUGACAA